AUUGAACGCUGGCGGCAUGCUUUACACAUGCAAGUCGAACGGCAGCGCGGGCUUCGGCCUGGCGGCGAGUGGCGAACGGGUGAGUAAUGCAUCGGAACGUGCCCAGUAGUGGGGGAUAGCCCGGCGAAAGCCGGAUUAAUACCGCAUACGACCUGAGGGUGAAAGCGGGGGACCGAAAGGCCUCGCGCUAUUGGAGCGGCCGAUGUCGGAUUAGCUAGUUGGUGGGGUAAAGGCUUACCAAGGCGACGAUCCGUAGCUGGUCUGAGAGGACGACCAGCCACACUGGGACUGAGACACGGCCCAGACUCCUACGGGAGGCAGCAGUGGGGAAUUUUGGACAAUGGGGGCAACCCUGAUCCAGCCAUGCCGCGUGCGGGAAGAAGGCCUUCGGGUUGUAAACCGCUUUUGUUCGGGAAGAGAUCCUCUGGGCUAAUACCCCGGGGGGAUGACGGUACCGGAAGAAUAAGCACCGGCUAACUACGUG
Molecule: ribosomal RNA, 484 nt
Filed under: uncultured bacterium
Lineage: Bacteria
Description: partial 16S ribosomal RNA
Rfam family: Bacterial small subunit ribosomal RNA
Source: RNAcentral